This 497-nucleotide ribosomal RNA is filed under the name uncultured bacterium. Its description in RNAcentral is "partial 16S ribosomal RNA". It matches the Rfam family "Bacterial small subunit ribosomal RNA", at positions 28 to 507 of the family's 1533-position model. The record is from RNAcentral.
GAUGAACGCUGGCGGCGUGCCUAAUACAUGCAAGUCGAGCGAACGGACGAGAAGCUUGCUUCUCUGAUGUUAGCGGCGGACGGGUGAGUAACACGUGGAUAACCUACCUAUAAGACUGGGAUAACUUCGGGAAACCGGAGCUAAUACCGGAUAAUAUUUUGAACCGCAUGGUUCAAAAGUGAAAGACGGCCUUGCUGUCACUUAUAGAUGGAUCCGCGCUGCAUUAGCUAGUUGGUAAGGUAACGGCUUACCAAGGCAACGAUGCAUAGCCGACCUGAGAGGGUGAUCGGCCACACUGGAACUGGGACACGGUCCAGACUCCUACGGGAGGCAGCAGUAGGGAAUCUUGCGCAAUGGGCGAAAGCCUGACGGAGCAACGCCGCGUGAGUGAUGAAGGUCUUCGGAUCGUAAAACUCUUUUAUUAGGGAAGAACAGAUGUGUAAGUAACUGUGCACAUCUUGACGGUACCUAAUCAGAAAGCCACGGCUAACUACGUG